GAUGAACGCUGGCGGCGUGCCCAAUACAUGCGAGUCGAGCGAACGGACGAGAAGCUUGCUUCUCUGAUGUUAGCGGCGGACGGGUGAGUAACACGUGGAUAACCUACCUAUAAGACUGGGAUAACUUCGGGAAACCGGAGCUAAUACCGGAUAAUAUUUUGAACCGCAUGGUUCAAAAGUGAAAGACGGUCUUGCUGUCACUUAUAGAUGGAUCCGCGCUGCAUUAGCUAGUUGGUAAGGUAACGGCUUACCAAGGCAACGAUGCAUAGCCGACCUGAGAGGGUGAUCGGCCACACUGGAACUGAGACACGGUCCAGACUCCUACGGGAGGCAGCAGUAGGGAAUCUUCCGCAAUGGGCGAAAGCCUGACGGAGCAACGCCGCGUGAGUGAUGAAGGUCUUCGGAUCGUAAAACUCUGUUAUUAGGGAAGAACAUAUGUGUAAGUAACUGUGCACAUCUUGACGGUACCUAAUCAGAAAGCCACGGCUAACUACGUG
RNAcentral lists this ribosomal RNA (497 nucleotides) under uncultured bacterium. RNAcentral's name for it is "partial 16S ribosomal RNA". It matches the Rfam family "Bacterial small subunit ribosomal RNA", at positions 28 to 507 of the family's 1533-position model. The record is from RNAcentral.